UAAUACGGAGGGUGCAAGCGUUAUCCGGAUUCACUGGGUUUAAAGGGUGCGUAGGUGGGCAAGUAAGUCAGUGGUGAAAUCUCCGGGCUUAACCCGGAAACUGCCAUUGAUACUAUUUGUCUUGAAUUCUGUGGAGGUGAGCGGAAUAUGUCAUGUAGCGGUGAAAUGCUUAGAUAUGACAUAGAACACCGAUUGCGAAGGCAGCUCACUACACAGCGAUUGACACUGAGGCACGAAAGCGUGGGGAUCAAACAGGAUUAGAUACCCUGGUAGUCCACGCCCUAAACGAUGAUUACUCGACAUACGCGAUAUACUGUGUGUGUCUGAGCGAAAGCAUUAAGUAAUCCACCUGGGAAGUACGACCGCAAGGUUG
This 373-nucleotide ribosomal RNA is filed under the name uncultured bacterium. Its description in RNAcentral is "bacterial SSU rRNA". It matches the Rfam family "Bacterial small subunit ribosomal RNA", at positions 521 to 896 of the family's 1533-position model. The record is from RNAcentral.